AGCAUCAAAGGAUAAAUGCUUGAAACAAUCUUAGGGAACCUUCUAACACAUCGCUAUUGUGUCGCGGUGUGGAUGAGAAGGCAGUUCUUUUCUGAUGGUGUU
Non-coding RNA from Zea mays, 102 nucleotides. The record is from Rfam. Lineage: Eukaryota; Viridiplantae; Streptophyta; Magnoliopsida; Poales; Poaceae.